This 230-nucleotide ribosomal RNA is filed under the name uncultured bacterium. RNAcentral's name for it is "partial 16S ribosomal RNA". It matches the Rfam family "Bacterial small subunit ribosomal RNA", at positions 92 to 339 of the family's 1533-position model. The record is from RNAcentral.
CGAGUGGCGCACGGGUGAGUAACGCGUGGAUAUCUGCCUUUUGGUUCGGAAUAACCCCGGGAAACUGGGGCUAAUACCGAAUGGUUCCUUCGGGAUAAAGAUUUAUCGCCAAAAGAUGAGUCCGCGUACGAUUAGCUAGUUGGUGAGGUAAUGGCUCACCAAGGCGACGAUCGUUAGCUGGUCUGAGAGGACGAUCAGCCACACUGGGACUGAGACACGGCCCAGACUCC